This 497-nucleotide ribosomal RNA is filed under the name uncultured bacterium. RNAcentral's name for it is "partial 16S ribosomal RNA". It matches the Rfam family "Bacterial small subunit ribosomal RNA", at positions 28 to 507 of the family's 1533-position model. The record is from RNAcentral.
GAUGAACGCUGGCGGCGUGCCUAAUACAUGCAAGUCGAGCGAACAGAUAAGGAGCUUGCUCCUUUGACGUUAGCGGCGGACGGGUGAGUAACACGUGGGUAACCUACCUAUAAGACUGGAAUAACUCCGGGAAACCGGGGCUAAUGCCGGAUAACAUUCAGAACCGCAUGGUUCUAAAGUGAAAGAUGGUUUUGCUAUCACUUAUAGAUGGACCCGCGCCGUAUUAGCUAGUUGGUAAGGUAACGGCUUACCAAGGCAACGAUACGUAGCCGACCUGAGAGGGUGAUCGGCCACACUGGAACUGAGACACGGUCCAGACUCCUACGGGAGGCAGCAGUAGGGAAUCUUCCGCAAUGGGCGAAAGCCUGACGGAGCAACGCCGCGUGAGUGAUGAAGGUCUUCGGAUCGUAAAACUCUGUUAUUAGGGAAGAACAAAUGUGUAAGUAACUGUGCACGUCUUGACGGUACCUAAUCAGAAAGCCACGGCUAACUACGUG